RNAcentral lists this unclassified non-coding RNA (337 nucleotides) under soil metagenome. RNAcentral describes it as "partial contains 5.8S ribosomal RNA, internal transcribed spacer 2, and large subunit ribosomal RNA". The stretch from base 1 to 120 matches the Rfam family "5.8S ribosomal RNA", at positions 35 to 154 of the family's 154-position model. The record is from RNAcentral.
GAUGAAGAACGCAGCGAAAUGCGAUACGUAAUGUGAAUUGCAGAAUUCAGUGAAUCAUCGAGUCUUUGAACGCACAUUGCGCCCCUUGGUAUUCCGAGGGGCAUGCCUGUUCGAGCGUCAUUACACCACUCAAGCUAUGCUUGGUAUUGGGCGUCGUCCUUAGUUGGGCGCGCCUUAAAGACCUCGGCGAGGCCACUCCGGCUUUAGGCGUAGUAGAAUUUAUUCGAACGUCUGUCAAAGGAGAGGAACUCUGCCGACUGAAACCUUUAUUUUUCUAGGUUGACCUCGGAUCAGGUAGGGAUACCCGCUGAACUUAAGCAUAUCAAUAAGCGGAGGA